UGGGGGAUAUUGCACAAUGGGCGAAAGCCUGAUGCAGCGACGCCGCGUGGGGGAUGAAGGCCUUCGGGUUGUAAACUUCUUUUGCUCUGAACAAGGCAUGCUAAUGGGUGUGUUGAGUGUAGGGGUUGAUUAGCGCCGGCUAACUACGUGCCAGCAGCCGCGGUAAUACGUAGGGCGCGAGCGUUGUCCGGAAUUAUUGGGCGUAACGGGCUUGUAGGUGGCUGGUUGCGUCUGUCGUGAAAGCUCAUGGCUUAACUGGGGGUUUGCGGUGGGUACGGGGUUGCUUUAGUGCAGUAGGGGGGGCUGGAAAUCCUGGUGUAGCGGUGGAAUGCGCAGAUAUCAGGAGGAAUACCGGUGGCGAAGGCGGGUCUCUGGGCUGUUACUGACACUGAGGAGCGAAAGCAUGGGGAGCGAACAGG
This 419-nucleotide ribosomal RNA is filed under the name bacterium. RNAcentral's name for it is "partial 16S ribosomal RNA". It matches the Rfam family "Bacterial small subunit ribosomal RNA", at positions 355 to 776 of the family's 1533-position model. The record is from RNAcentral.